Molecule: long non-coding RNA, 3978 nt
Organism: Lagenorhynchus albirostris (white-beaked dolphin)
Lineage: Eukaryota; Metazoa; Chordata; Mammalia; Artiodactyla; Delphinidae
Exons: 2
Source: RefSeq, a predicted model, not a curated record
CGUGGGGACUGUCUGUGGGGGACCCACUCUCAGUCCAAGACCAAAUUGCCAGGUACUUCAGGAUACGAGUGUCCAUGACACUCAUUGUGUCCUCCCCGUCUUUGGCCAGAAGAGAGGCUCGGAGCGGUCUCGGAGUCUUAGGCCAUCUAGAGCAGGGGUUCCCAACCCUCUGGCCGGUGUACCCACCAGUCCAUGGCCUGUUAGGAACCGGGCGGCACAACAGGAGGUGAACAGCGAGCGAGCAAAACUUCAUCUGGGGCUCCCCACUGCUCUCAUUACCGCCUGAACCAUACCCCACCGCCCGCCACAGUGUGAACAGACUGGUGUUUGACAAGCAAGGAGCUUCGCCUGAAGGCCUUCCCGCACUCCUGACACACAGCGGUCUUUUCUGCAGCAUGAAUUUUCUGAUGUUGGAGGAGGUAUUUGUUAAAGUUGAAGAUUGCCUUGCAUCUGGCACAUUCGUAGAGUUUCCGAGUGUGAGUUUUCUGAUACCGGGUGAGAUGAAAGGUUUGGCUGAAACUCUCACCAUAUUCAUUACAUUUGUCGGAUUUGCCACCUGGGGGUGGUUUGUGACACUCAACAGGCUGUGAGUCUUGACCUGCUGGACCAUCACUGUCUUGACUCUUACAUGGUUCUUCUUCACUGUGAAUGUUCUGAUGCCACAGGAGGUAUGUAUUCUGACUAGAAGUCUUCCCGCACUUGUUACCCACAUAGGAUUUGGAGCCUGUGUGAGACACUGGCUGCACAAAAAGGCAAGAACUCUGGUUGACAUCUUUCUCAUUCUCUUGAGGCACAGUGGGGUCCUCCCUAGUGUGAAGAAUCCAGUGCUGGAUCAGAUGGUAGCUCUGGCUGAAGCUCUUCUCACACUGACCACAUUUAUAAGGUUUCUCCCCUCCCUGGAUGUUAUCCUGCUGGCUCUGGUCUGAGUAGCACCCAAAGUCAUUCCCACUUUCCUGAGACUUAGCGGGUGUCAGGCUCCUUUCAGGAAGAUCAGGAGUCACAGAACCUGCUCCUGGGAAAGGGAGGGACUUGGGACCAAGGCCUCUCUUGAGUUUGUGGCUCUCGAGUUCGUGGCUCUUGCAUUCUGUGGGACUUUCCUUGCUGGUAACAAUAUCGGACUUCAGAAGACUUUCCGGAUCUCCAAGCAAACUAUCUAACCAGCUCUGAUCUAUGUAGGCUUCUUCCAGAUGGGAGUUCCAGAGGCCAUCCUUGGAAAACAUCUCAGUAAUCUCCUGGAAGAUUCCUUCAUCCAAGAAGUCCUGUGGCAGAGGAGAGGUCUUGGCCUCAGCCGUGUCUGAAAGAGAGGGCAAGAGCAAAUGUCUCCUGUGCCCUGGGGGUUAAAGACGGGAGCUGAACGCUGAGAGCAGACAAAAGGGAGAACAGGUGAUGGGUCCUGAGUCAGGCCUAUCUGGCAAGGAGAUGAAGGAGACGGGGCCAGAGUGGUGAUCCAGCUGGAACUGGCAUCACAGGAAACAGAGCCCAUUUCCAGGAGGAUUAAGAGGGAAGCUGGGCAACCUCGAGGGUUCCACAGAGAAGUGGAGGCUCUCAGUGGAUACUCUCCACCAUCACCCCCAUCAGCUAAGGCCCACUUCCUAGAGAAGUGCACUCAAUGGAAAAGAGGUAUAAAUGAUAACAAUGCAAUAUGAUUGUUACCACGUGGUUAUCAUUGUAACCACAUCCAAAGGUGGUUUGCACAUGGUUACACAUGCUUGGAACCAGCCUGGAUGUUAAGGUGGCAGAAACAGAAAUCCACGAUUGCAGGAGCCUGGGCCUAUGUGAAAACACCUGUGUGCUCAACAGGAGGCUACAGAAGGUCCAUGUUCACAAGCUCACGAGAGGUGAGCAGAGAAUAGAGCUCCAGGCUGACGGCUGGGGUGCAGGCUGAGACUGAGCCAUGCAGCCUCCACUCCGUGGCCUCUGGUUCAGGGGUCCUUCUCCUCACGUUAACAGCCUAACAAUGAGAAAAGCCUCCAGUGCCCCAGGCAGGGCCCUGCCUCUGCUUUUUCCUCCUGGGGAUGUCUCAACCAGUGUUAACACCUGGGAAUCCUCACUGCUUGACUGGAUCCCCUGGAGAAACCGUGGCCUGGAAGAGGGCAGACCGAAGGCUCUUGGCAGCAUUUAGGCCCAGGCUUGAGUUACUAACAGAUGGGCCAUCUGCUAGGCCCUGUGGACCAGGAAGGAAGGAUGGGCCUGAAUGAAAGGGCGGUGAAACAGGUAGACAGGGGGUCCACAGUGCUCAAGGGGCACAAGGCAAGAAGGUGGAGAGACCAACUCAGGGAAUGGAAGGCCAACCCCUGCUGAGUCUGGAAGGAUGUGGAGGGGACAGAGGAAGGGCAACAGGACAACCAUGUGCUGAACACAGAGGCAGGCAGAGAUAAGGCAUGCUGGGUGAGGGUCCUGGACCUAAAGCCAGUGCAAGGCAGAGUGAAGCCCGGAAGCAGGGAAUCAAGCUGUCUGGGUAGACAAACUGGGUGGGAUGGAGGUCCAAAGAUGGAGGGCCCACAAAGGGCCACACCCCACGACCCCUCCACCCUCCUGCUCGCUGGGUGCUGGUGGGCCCUCUCUGCCCACUCACCAGGGCCUGUUGACUCUGGGCUUCCUUUCGCCAGGGCCGCCAGCUCUUCCCCAUCAUCUGGAUGGGAGGUCAGGCUGGGUCUGGGGGAAUCUGAAGGGAGAGAAAAGCAUUGUCACCAACCAGACGACAGCAGCAUGGAGAGUCAUCCAGCCACUGAGUGGGAACUUCCCAGCUCUCCUGACUAUUCAGCACCUUAUCCAGCGCACGGCUCCCAAGGACCAGAUGCAGCACUGGGUGACUCCAGGAACGCCUGCCCUACAGGGUUCCCAGUCCAGUGGAGGAGAGGGACCUGGACAGUCACAAUCCAGAAUGAUCAGAGCUGUGACAACUGGGCCUGGGAACACAAAGGAUCUGUAACAGCUCUUGAGGAAUGAGCAGAGUGGCCAGGGAGAGGCAGGUACUUCCUCGGUCAUCUGAGAUUCAUUCAUUCACCCAUGGACCACACACGGCCAGAGGCCUCCGUGGGCUAGGCCCCGUGAAGUGUGUUGGGGUCCCAGAGCUCAAUCCCGCACUCUACCCCCCUGCAAACUUUCUCAAGGAAGGGAGCACAGAGUUGUAAUCCCUGGGGAAAUGUGCUACAGUGGGGAGAAAGCCACUGCUAACUUCAAAGAUGAGAGGUCAUGAGCCCAGCAAGUAGGCUUCAUCUUUUAGCUGAAAGAGGGCAAGGAAAGAGAUUCUCCCCUACAGCCUCCAGAAGGAACCAGCCAUGCCCACACCUGGAUUUCAGCCAAGGCAGACCCACUUCAAACUUCUGACCUCCAUGGGGCUUCCCUGGUGGCGCAGUGGUUAAGAAUCCGCCUGCCAAUGCAGGGGACACAGGUUCGAGCCCUGGUCUGGGAAGAUCCCACAUGCCACGGAGCAACUAAGCCCGUGCGCCACAACUACUGAGCCUGCGCUUUAGAGCCCGCAAGGCACAACUACUGAGCCUGCGUGCCACAACUACUGAAGCCCACGCACCUAGAGCCCGUACUCUGCAACAAGAGAAGCCACUGCAGUGAGAAGGCCGCGCACCACAACGAAGAGUAGCCCCACUCGCUGCAACUAGAGAAAGCCCGUGCUCAGCAAUGAAGACCCAACUCAGCCAAAAAUAAAAUAAAACAAAUAAAUUAAAAACAACCACAAAAAACAAAAAACUUCUGACCUCCAGAACCAUCAGUCAGUGUGUGCUGUUUUCAGCCACAUUUGUGGCAUCUUCAAGAGCGCCAUAGCAAACGAUUACACCACUCAUAUAUAUAGACACACAAACGUGUGCCAGGGAGUCAAGGGAAACACAUUUCUACCAUGGAUUGUAAUUUAAAAAUUGCAGACACUGAGAUUUGACCUCCCACAAGCUACUUCUGUAGCGUACAUUGAGCAGUUUAGAGAAAAUCUGCCCCAAUGCAAUAAAAUUACAUGAAAUGAUA